This 445-nucleotide ribosomal RNA is filed under the name uncultured bacterium. Its description in RNAcentral is "bacterial SSU rRNA". It matches the Rfam family "Bacterial small subunit ribosomal RNA", at positions 330 to 792 of the family's 1533-position model. The record is from RNAcentral.
CCCAGACUCCUACGGGAGGCAGCAGUGGGGAAUAUUGCACAAUGGGGGGAACCCUGAUGCAGCGACGCCGCGUGGGUGAGGAAGUACUUCGGUAUGUAAAGCCCUAUCAGCAGGGAAGAAAAUGACGGUACCUGACUAAGAAGCCCCGGCUAACUACGUGCCAGCAGCCGCGGUAAUACGUAGGGAGCGAGCGUUGUCCGGAAUUACUGGGUGUAAAGGGAGCGUAGGCGGGACGGCAAGUCAGAUGUGAAAACUGAGGGCUCAACUUUCAGACUGCAUUUGAAACUGCUGUUCUUGAGUGAAGUAGAGGUAAGCGGAAUUCCUAGUGUAGCGGUGAAAUGCGUAGAUAUUAGGAGGAACAUCGGUGGCGAAGGCGGCUUACUGGGCUUUUACUGACGCUGAGGCUCGAAAGCGUGGGGAGCAAACAGGAUUAGAUACCCUUGUA